AGAGAAGUUAAAAAGAUGUGUAUGUAUAAAUAUCCAGGAAUGAAGAAAAAAAUGGGAGAGUUUGAGCUAGCAAUUGUAGCUAGAGAGUUUACAGAUUCUGAAAUUAUGGUGAUGCUGGGGGAAAAUGGAACAGGUAAAACGACAUUUAUCAGAAUGCUUGCUGGAAGACUUAAACCUGAGGAAGGAGGAGAAGUACCAGUUCUAAAUGUCAGUUAUAAGCCACAGAAAAUUAGUCGCAAAUCAACUGGAAGUGUUCGCCAGUUACUACAUGAAAAGAUAAGAGAUGCUUAUACUCACCCACAAUUUGUGACCGAUGUAAUGAAGCCUCUGCAAAUUGAAAACAUCACUGAUCAAGAGGUGCAGACAUUAUCUGGUGGUGAACUACAGUGAGUAGCUUUAGCCCUUUGUUUGGGCAAACCUGCUGAUGUCUAUUUAAUUGAUGAACCAUCUGCAUGUUUGGAUUCUGAGCAAAGACUGAUGGCAGCUCGAGUUGUCAAACGUUUCAUACUCCAAGAAAAAAGACAGCCUUUGUUGUGGAACAUGACUUCAUCAUGGCCACCUAUCUAGCGGAUCGCGUCAUCGUUUUUGAUGGUGUUCCAUCUAAGAACACAGUUGCAAACAGUCCUCAAACCCUUUUGGCUGGCAUGAAUAAAUUUUUAUCUCAGCUUGAAAUUACAUUCAGAAGAGAUCCAAACAACUAUAGGCCACGAAUAAACAAACUUAAUUCAAUUAAGGAUGUAGAACAAAAGAAGAGUGGAAACCACUUUUUCUUGGAUGAUU
Molecule: long non-coding RNA, 780 nt
Filed under: Homo sapiens (human)
Lineage: Eukaryota; Metazoa; Chordata; Mammalia; Primates; Hominidae
Description: non-protein coding lnc-UCHL5-6:1
Source: RNAcentral